GGGUUUGUAGUCUAGCGGUUAGGACAACGCGUUGACGUCGCGUAAACCUCGGUUCGAAUCCGGGCAGACCCA
This 72-nucleotide transfer RNA is filed under the name Candidatus Aenigmatarchaeota archaeon. RNAcentral describes it as "tRNA-Val". It matches the Rfam family "tRNA". Rfam says of the family: Transfer RNA (tRNA) molecules are approximately 80 nucleotides in length. Their secondary structure includes four short double-helical elements and three loops (D, anti-codon, and T loops). The record is from RNAcentral. Lineage: Archaea; Nanobdellati; Candidatus Aenigmatarchaeota.